GGGUUGUGAGGUUAAGCGACUAAGCGUACACGGUGGAUGCCCUGGCAGUCAGAGGCGAUGAAGGACGUGCUAAUCUGCGAUAAGCGUCGGUAAGGUGAUAUGAACCGUUAUAACCGGCGAUUUCCGAAUGGGGAAACCCAGUGUGUUUCGACACACUAUCAUUAACUGAAUCCAUAGGUUAAUGAGGCGAACCGGGGGAACUGAAACAUCUAAGUACCCCGAGGAAAAGAAAUCAACCGAGAUUCCCCCAGUAGCGGCGAGCGAACGGGGAGCAGCCCAGAGCCUGAAUCAGUAUGUGUGUUAGUGGAAGCGUCUGGAAAGGCGCGCGAUACAGGGUGACAGCCCCGUACACAAAAAUGCACAUGCUGUGAGCUCGAUGAGUAGGGCGGGACACGUGGUAUCCUGUCUGAAUAUGGGGGGACCAUCCUCCAAGGCUAAAUACUCCUGACUGACCGAUAGUGAACCAGUACCGUGAGGGAAAGGCGAAAAGAACCCCGGCGAGGGGAGUGAAAAAGAACCUGAAACCGUGUACGUACAAGCAGUGGGAGCACAGAGCAAUCUGUGUGACUGCGUACCUUUUGUAUAAUGGGUCAGCGACUUAUAUUCUGUAGCAAGGUUAACCGAAUAGGGGAGCCGAAGGGAAACCGAGUCUUAACUGGGCGUUAAGUUGCAGGGUAUAGACCCGAAACCCGGUGAUCUAGCCAUGGGCAGGUUGAAGGUUGGGUAACACUAACUGGAGGACCGAACCGACUAAUGUUGAAAAAUUAGCGGAUGACUUGUGGCUGGGGGUGAAAGGCCAAUCAAACCGGGAGAUAGCUGGUUCUCCCCGAAAGCUAUUUAGGUAGCGCCUCGUGAAUUCAUCUCCGGGGGUAGAGCACUGUUUCGGCAAGGGGGUCAUCCCGACUUACCAACCCGAUGCAAACUGCGAAUACCGGAGAAUGUUAUCACGGGAGACACACGGCGGGUGCUAACGUCCGUCGUGAAGAGGGAAACAACCCAGACCGCCAGCUAAGGUCCCAAAGUCAUGGUUAAGUGGGAAACGAUGUGGGAAGGCCCAGACAGCCAGGAUG
Molecule: ribosomal RNA, 1070 nt
Filed under: Escherichia coli
Lineage: Bacteria; Pseudomonadati; Pseudomonadota; Gammaproteobacteria; Enterobacterales; Enterobacteriaceae
Description: bacterial LSU rRNA
Rfam family: Bacterial large subunit ribosomal RNA
Source: RNAcentral